UGUCAAUUUUAAUACGCGGUAAUAUUUAAUUUGUUGAGGUAAAAAAGAGGGAGAAGUUUUUAUUUGAUUAAAAAAAAAAAAAAUCGUGGGAUAUAAAUAUAUAAAAUAGGUAAAUUGAUAUUGGAGUCAAAGUGGAACAUCAAAUGAAUUUUGUGCUUGUCGCGAGGUGGCAACAGUAUACUUUCGCAUGUUUGUUUUUAUUUUUUUGCUUUUUAUUGUUGUUAUUAUUAUUCUCCACCAUGUCUCCCACUUGAUGAUAAUAUUUUCCCCUUUAUCCGCCAUGAAAAUAUGAGACAUUCUGCG
Aphidius gifuensis is the source of this 303-nucleotide long non-coding RNA. RefSeq lists it as uncharacterized. NCBI's taxonomy places the organism in Eukaryota, Metazoa, Arthropoda, Insecta, Hymenoptera, Braconidae. The transcript is spliced from 2 exons. The record is from RefSeq and is a predicted model, not a curated record.